GAGGGUGUUAUAAGACUU
This 18-nucleotide transfer RNA is filed under the name Senticolis triaspis. RNAcentral's name for it is "partial tRNA-Ser". The record is from RNAcentral. Lineage: Eukaryota; Metazoa; Chordata; Lepidosauria; Squamata; Colubridae.